CGUCUCAACUCGUCCUCUCAGCUUCCAUCGUCUCAGCUCAUGUCUCUUUCAUCCUCAGUCUAGAAAUGUUCCCACGCUUCUGUUGCCUCAAGUGAAAGCUUUUCGUCUCAGCUUUUUGUCUCCGAAGAAAGACAUUGACAUCUGGUGUACGUGAAACUCGAAGAAAGACAUUGACAUCGAGUAAGUGUUCUAUUUCUCCUCUUUGUUCUUCUUUCCGUUGUCAUCCUUCUCACUGUUCCCAUUUUCAGAUCUCAUGAAAAGAAUUUCUUUUGAAGUUAGAAAAGGAAAAUGUUGCCUCAACCAUCUCAAAUAAGAAAUUAAUUUCAUUCUGGAAGAACAAGUUUUUUAAUGUUAUUUCUUAUGGGAAAUAUCUAUAGUUUUAUACUACUAGUUGUGUACGAUAUUUAACAAUUAAAUUUUCUAUUGUGCGAUACUACUAGUUAGAGUCAUUGUUGGGAAAAGUAGAUGCCGCUGCAAAGAAUUGGUGGAAUUCUCUCAUUAGGAAUGAAUAUUUUUGAUGUUUUUGGUGAGGCUUAAAUUUCUUGUAAACUAUCUGCUGGUUUAGUAAUUGUGACACACUGGAUUAAUGCAUGUUGUUGGAGGUUUUGUUUGGAAGUGCAUGAAGGUAAUGGUUUAAAAGAAAGCUCAUGGUAAUGGAUAUUCACCAUGUAAUUACUCUUUUCUAGCCAGCAACAUCUGGAGUACUACCUGUAGUAUAGGACUUGCUAUGAUAUUUGUGGUUUGAUUAUUUAUCUUGUUUGUUCUUGAAACUCCUACAUUGAAAAAUUGCAUCUGGAUUUAUUUUUUAGGGAUCCUUUGCAAUAGUUGUGGCAUUUCUUGUGCUAUGCAUGUACUAGCAAAGAUUAAACUUUUCUUGUAAUUAUAAUGGAAAAAACUUAAAUUCUUGAGUUAUGACUUACAAAAUUCUUCUCUUUCUCAUUUUGAUGUAAGAUUAAUGACCUUAAAUGUCAUGUCCAUUUCAUAAAAGUAAGUUUCUCAAAUUUAAGUACUGAGUGAUAUAUAACUUUAUUCCAACAAAAUUACUUUUUAUGGUAUCUAUUGAAUUACUUUGAAAAUACAAUGACACUAUGACAGGCAACUUGAUGAUAAUAUUCCAUAUAUUUCUACAUAUAAAAACAAGUCAUUUUCUCCAAAGUAGAGUCAAAUUUUGUUCAAAAUCUUUUACUUAUAUGUGGCUUAAAUUUUUAAACUUUGUCUACAAAGUCUUUAUUAAAGACUACCAUAAAGAAGUCGGAUGGGGAAGAUUUUAAACAUUAGGAAAAAGAAAGGGAAGUUCUGUUAAAGAAAGGGAAGUUAUGUUAUUGAAGGACUUGUUGAUCUUUCUAUGUGUUUGGUGUUUUGUUAUUUGUAUGCUUGUACUACGAGUCCCUUAUUUAUAAAAGAGAGUAUAGUUUAUACUCUAAAGCAAGCUGGCUGGAUUUAGAAUGCUUUAGAAUCUUGAUUGGAAUAAGAAUGCUUCGAUAACUUGAUUGGAAAUAGAAUGCUUUAUUAUUCUGUAAGUUGACUGGAAUUAGAAUUCAUCAGUAAGGAAAAGUUUAUUUUUUAAUCUAAGUUUUGAAAAGCUUGUAAGCUUUUUUCAGCUUUCCUAGUAAUAAAUUUCAGAAACUGUGUGGUGGGUGAAGUUGCUGCUGGGACUCACACAAGUGGCUCUAUCUUUUUUUUUUAAAAAAAAUUAAAGUCGGGCCAUAGACCCCUUUUAUUGCCAAAUAUAACCAACUGUACAAGAUCAGGCCCAAAAGUGGCCUUGUCCAAUAAGACAAAAAUAAAAUAAGAAAAAGGACCAAAUGAACAAAGAUGUGGAAAGGUCACUGUAACAUAUCUUGAACAUAUCUGCUGGAAGAAGCGGGUCAUGGAGGAAGACAAGGUUGUUGUUAUUUUCUGAUCCCCGGAGGAAGCACCAUAAUUAAGCGUGUGAGCUACUUGUCGUCGUCCAACCCCCGGAGAAAGCACCACUAACAAAGAUAAUCUCCAUCUUCACUUCUAGGUGAAAAUGAAAAGAAAUUCACUCUUCUCUAUCUCACAAUAGGAGGUGGCUCUAUCUCAAUUGGUGAACAUCGCAAGAAACUUGCUAUUGAAAAGGGUCGAGAUCCAACACCAAGCGAGUUACAUUUGCAUGUCCAUACGCAUGGUAAUGAUGGAAAAUCUUUUGUUGGUGAACGCUCUUGAAUUGUCCAUGUAA
Solanum stenotomum is the source of this 2200-nucleotide long non-coding RNA. RefSeq lists it as uncharacterized. Lineage: Eukaryota; Viridiplantae; Streptophyta; Magnoliopsida; Solanales; Solanaceae. The record is from RefSeq and is a predicted model, not a curated record. The transcript is spliced from 3 exons.